ACGCUGCCGCCAUGUUCAGCUGACCUCGGUCAGCAACAUGCCCAGGUAGCCAUGAUCUUCGAGGCUACGGCGCGGUUCCGUCAGCGUGAUCAGACCAGUUCGCAUCCGGCAUCCCAGUGCGAACAAUCGCCGAGCCAUCGGCGUUCUUGGU
This 151-nucleotide non-coding RNA is filed under the name Xanthomonas citri pv. citri. RNAcentral's name for it is "ncRNA with ncRNA_class of other". It matches the Rfam family "radC RNA". Lineage: Bacteria; Pseudomonadati; Pseudomonadota; Gammaproteobacteria; Lysobacterales; Lysobacteraceae. The record is from RNAcentral.